AGCAAUAGAGGACCGCAAUAGAGCAGCGCCGUGGGUUAAUACAAAAGGGCCUAGAAGGUUUAAUAGAAACCUUCGAAGGUAGAUGGGCCUACAACUCAGUGGAUGGGCUUAAAAGCGGCAGUUAACGGUAGCUCCCAUUGGUAAACUCGUGCCAUGAAACGCGCUCCUGGGAGGAUGACUGCUAACGUUUGACUGGCUUCGAAAAACUUUUUCUGCAGUUUACCAUCUGCUUUCAUCCUCUGUUCGAUCUUAUGUUAGAGCAGGCAUCUGUCCAAAUUCUUCAAUUUACGAGUUCACUUUUCUCUUGGACCGGAACUUUUUGUCGCUUGCAUAAUUUCAAGGUGUUUCUUUGUGAAGCGGACGAGAAUGAACACAACGGUAGACCAAGGUAAGUGAAAUGCAAGAUUAAAAGAGUUUUUCUUUUCUCUUCCCUUCACUAGCAACCAAGGUCACAUGAAAUUAAUUCUGCCUAAGGUUAGGCGAAGAAGUUAAAAUCGAACAUUCAGGAAUUGUUUUAGCUAUCACU
Orbicella faveolata is the source of this 526-nucleotide long non-coding RNA. NCBI's taxonomy places the organism in Eukaryota, Metazoa, Cnidaria, Anthozoa, Scleractinia, Merulinidae. The record is from RefSeq and is a predicted model, not a curated record.